UACAGAGGGUGCAAGCGUUGCUCGGAAUUACUGGGCGUAAAGGGCGCGUAGGCGGAUAUUUAAGUCGGGGGUGAAAGCCCAGGGCUCAACCCUGGAAUUGCCUUCGAUACUGGAUAUCUUGAGUUCGGGAGAGGUGAGUGGAAUGCCGAGUGUAGAGGUGAAAUUCGUAGAUAUUGGGAAGAACACCGGUGGCGAAGGCGGCGACCUGGUCCUUGACUGACGCUGAGGCGCGAAAGCGUGGGGAGCAAACAGG
Molecule: ribosomal RNA, 253 nt
Filed under: uncultured bacterium
Lineage: Bacteria
Description: partial 16S ribosomal RNA
Rfam family: Bacterial small subunit ribosomal RNA
Source: RNAcentral